Molecule: long non-coding RNA, 206 nt
Filed under: Arachis ipaensis
Lineage: Eukaryota; Viridiplantae; Streptophyta; Magnoliopsida; Fabales; Fabaceae
Description: long non-coding RNA (AIPA_LNC000513)
Source: RNAcentral
UCUAUCAAACUUCCACAGCUAAAACCUUGAACCGCAUCCUUGCCUUGAACCAACUAAUUUCACUUUUAAAUUCAGCCAUAUUUGGCCACAGCUUGAACCAUUAGCCAUGGAUUAUUGGAGAUGUAUGCUCUUAUAUGCUUUAAUUGAAGACUUGGCAUUGGGAUUCAGGGCAAGGAAGAAAAAAUUGAUCUUCAUGUGUAUUGGAG